This 349-nucleotide long non-coding RNA is filed under the name Homo sapiens (human). RNAcentral's name for it is "non-protein coding lnc-MECR-6:1". Lineage: Eukaryota; Metazoa; Chordata; Mammalia; Primates; Hominidae. The record is from RNAcentral.
GAAGCCGAUGAACGAGACCAAGGCCACUGUCAACUACUGCCAGGAGAGGACCCACAUGAUGAGCACCAUGGACCAGAGCUUCACAGACCAGAGCCCCCUGCAGGAGGAGGAGUGGCUGGGCCUGUCCUUCAUAGACACUCACGGCUAUAGCUCCCAGGGAGACCAGCGCAGCGGUGGGGUCACUGAGGCCAGCAGCCUCCUGAGGGACUCCCUGAAGCAUCCCUGUGGCCAGAAGGGCUCCCCGCACCACAUGGGGCAGCUGCACCCUGCAGUGCGUGUGGCAGACCUUCUGCAGCACAUCAACCAGAUGAAGACGGCCGAGGGUUACGGCUUCAAGCAGGAGUACGAG